GAUGAACGCUGGCGGCGUGCCUAAUACAUGCAAGUCGAGCGAACAGAUGAGGAGCUUGCUCCUCUGACGUUAGCGGCGGACGGGUGAGUAACACGUGGAUAACCUACCUAUAAGACUGGGAUAACUUCGGGAAACCGGAGCUAAUACCGGAUAAUAUAUUGAACCGCAUGGUUCAAUAGUGAAAGACGGUUUUGCUGUCACUUAUAGAUGGAUCCGCGCCGCAUUAGCUAGUUGGUAAGGUAACGGCUUACCAAGGCAACGAGGCGUAGCCGACCUGAGAGGGUGAUCGGCCACACUGGAACUGAGACACGGUCCAGACUCCUACGGGAGGCAGCAGUAGGGAAUCUUCCGCAAUGGGCGAAAGCCUGACGGAGCAACGCCGCGUGAGUGAUGAAGGUCUUCGGAUCGUAAAACUCUGUUAUUAGGGAAGAACAAAUGUGUAAGUAACUAUGCACGUCUUGACGGUACCUAAUCAGAAAGCCACGGCUAACUACGUG
RNAcentral lists this ribosomal RNA (497 nucleotides) under uncultured bacterium. RNAcentral's name for it is "partial 16S ribosomal RNA". It matches the Rfam family "Bacterial small subunit ribosomal RNA", at positions 28 to 507 of the family's 1533-position model. The record is from RNAcentral.